UGACACCAUUUGCGCAGAAUGUGGGCGUGAAUCGGCGGUUUCGGUCAGGCAGGCGGCGCGUCAUUCGAGAUCUCCGGGAGCCCACAUCCUCAGGAUGGACAAGAAAAAUCACAAAGCCGACAAACAAGAUACUGGAUUUCCCCAGUGUCGUCAACACAAAAAAUCCAAUAAAAGCACUCCUAAAUCAUGAGAAGAAAGAAAAAUUAACAAAUUAAAUAAUAUUAUUUCCCAUUUCUACGACACACUCCAGCCUCUGCAGUGGCCAUCUGUUGCAGAAGGCCUCGAGCAAUUCGACAGAUGCCCCAUGCUCUUUCUCCAGGUUAUGGGUACACUCCAUACAGUAUAUUGAAAACUUCUAACUUUAAGUAUUUGAACAUUUGUAAUUCAUGCUUUACAUCCACAAGACUAUUGGAAGGGAUGUUGUGUGAAUUCAUGCUGAAAAUCAACUUAAUCUCCCAGUCCUGCACAAAAUCUAGUGACCCCCAGUGAAGGUUCGUAAGUGUGGAAAUCUACUGGGCACAGUAUCAGGUUUGACAAUUCUACCCAGUAAUCUAACAACCUGCCAGCGUUCAGCCUCUAGGCUCUGUGAUGCAAGAAGGUGGCUGUUGUCCAUGGAAUUGUUCUCCAGCAUCCAUGGAAUUGUUCUCCAUCAAGAGUCAGCAGUUUGAAGAAGGGAGGGAAGAAAAUUGGCAAAAGAAAGAAAAAUGACUAUUAUGUAGUGUUGCCAUCACAACCUUUCAGUAAAAAUAUUAUUAUAAAAUAAAGGUUGAAUGAUAACAUUUUCAGUGGAAAUAAUGUUUCCAUGUUCAAAUGAUAAAUUGUCAGGCUUUACUGCUAAAGUGCAAUGUUGUGAGAACCUUGUUGUGGUGACUGCUCAUAUUCAUUCCUUAUCAUCCAUUAUUCCUCAUUUAAUAUUUGGGUUGCAGGCUAUCUAUCAAAGGCUCAAUCUUAAAAGUAACAUACUGCAGAUGCUGGGAAUCUGAUAUAAAAACAGACCUCAGGAUUUCAAGAAGAUAUAAUAAUUUUCAUAAUGUUAUUGGAAUUUAUUGUAGAGUAAUAGUGGGGUCUGUGUCUACGGGUCUGUAUGUGUGUGGGGGACUUAAUUGAAUUAAAGAAAGCUGGUCUGAAGGUUUUAAUAUAUCAGAAGAUAAGCUAGGUUUGAUAUAUAAAGUAUGUGAACAUGGGUGAAGUUUUAGAAUGUGAAGUGCAAAGGGAACAUUUGCAUUUUUAAAUAAAUUAGACUGGCUUGAAUUCAAGAGCGGGUGAAAUGCUUCACUUAGCCAGAAGAAGUUAAGAAACGGUGUGUUUAUUUUUCCCAAAGAUUACUGGUAUAAUUGGUACUAUGAUAGAUUUAUUAGAGAGGUAAAGUCCAAAGACAUAGUGAAACCAUGGGAAUUUGCAUUCAAAGAGGAAAAUAUGUAUAAAGGAAAGAAAGCUGUGUGCAAGAGAAGGCAUUUUAGGAUCUAACACAAGCGUGAAAAGCCUCCAGCAUCUAAGCUUCAAGCUGCUGUCUACAAUGAACCAAAGACGAGAAAAACUCACAUUGAAUUCGACUGUUCAGGGUAUUGUGUGUUGCAAUGCCCGAGUCUGUUAAAAUGUAUUUUGUUUUUACUGUUGCCUUAACGGAGUUGUAAUUGGGAGUUAGAUUAAUUAGGGGAGUUAGAAGUUGUAGUAACUUGUAGACCUAUGUACGUGCUUAAAAUAAUUUCUUCUAUUAAUAUUAUUAAAUGCCCCCCCCCCCCCCCAAAAUGUAAGGCUAUCUUACCUUCAUGCCACUAUCAGUGCCUUUUUUAGGCUUUAACACCACCAUUAACAUUCCCUUUGCCUUGUAUCCAUGAUAUUUUGUCAAUCUCUCCUGAGCUCUCACCGAUCCAUGAACUUCUAGUUUGCUCCACCCCCUCGUAACCGGUAUAAAAUCCAUCACAUAUCUACCUCUCUUCAGCUCUGAAGAGGAGUCAUACGGACUCAAAAUGUUUCUUCUGUUUCUCUCUCCAAGGAUGCUGCCAGACUUGCUGUGUUUUUCCAGCAUUUUCUGUUUUUAUUGUAGGCUCAAACUUGCUUGUGCAACCAACACCCUAAUAGGAACAUGCAAAAAUUAUGUCCAACUGAGCAUAAUAUUGAGCCACUGGCAAGCAAUGACAAUCUAAGUAAUAGCAUAUCAGUUUUAAAAACAAAAUUGCAUUAAGCACUAAGUACAAAAAAAUCGUGGGACUGAAAUUCAGGAAGCCUGGACCAGGGAGACAUUCUGCAUUAUCCCUGCAGAGAUCGUUCUCCCAGAUCUAGCUGAGCUCCCAAGUUUAGAUCACCUCGAUUCUUGUCAUUUUCCAGGCAUUUGCUGGGAUCUAUUGUAAUUUCAAUACUAGACUUUCUCAAAAUAUGUUUGGAAAUGAUGUGUGGUCUGGCUGGUGGGGUGGGUACAAAGCGUGAGGGAAAAUAACAAAAAAAAUGUAUUUUGGCCAGGUUGCUUCUCUCGUCCUGACAUUUAAUUUUCUAUGUACAUUCUUUGACUAGCUCAGUGCCACACCCACUGAAUUAAGGAGUGGAAAGAAUAAAUGUAUAUUUAAAAACAGAUGUGGGAAAUACCAGCCAGUUUGCUUGGAGAGCCCCUGAAAACAAGAUAACCCCUUAUUGCUCACCAUGAAACUCACCAACCCCAAGCAACUUAACCAUAAAUAUUCAGGGCCCCUUUUCAGUAUACCCAAAACAAUUUCACUCAAGGCCAAACAAGCCACCAACCUCUUCCCCUCACAACCCACAUAGUUCACAGUACAAGUCAAAAACCUGAAACUCCCUUCCUAAUCAUCAGAUGGACUGCAAUGUUUCAAGAAGGCAGUUCACCAUCACCACCUCAAGGGCAAUUAUGAAUGGACAAUAAAUUCUGGCCUUGCCAACAAUGCUCAUAUACCAUGAAAGAUUAAAAAAAGUAGCCUGAUGUGACAAUGCGUUCCUCCCAAUGAUACUAGAUGAGAAUGUGCUAUGUCUUAAUUUAACCAAAAAUAUAAUGCUCUCAAAAUAUCGGUGUGAAUGCAUCGUUAAUUGCACAAUGCCUUCAUAAAGUAUGAGGGUACAUGUAUCAGGAUAAUAGCUUCAUGAAUUGUGUAUGUACAUUCUUGAGAACCCAAUAAAAGAUUUAUUCAAUAAAA
This is a long non-coding RNA of Carcharodon carcharias (great white shark), 3143 nucleotides long. RefSeq lists it as uncharacterized. Lineage: Eukaryota; Metazoa; Chordata; Chondrichthyes; Lamniformes; Lamnidae. The record is from RefSeq and is a predicted model, not a curated record. The transcript is spliced from 3 exons.